RNAcentral lists this RNase P RNA (365 nucleotides) under Loigolactobacillus bifermentans. Its description in RNAcentral is "Lactobacillus bifermentans RNase P RNA component class B". It matches the Rfam family "Bacterial RNase P class B". Rfam says of the family: Ribonuclease P (RNase P) is a ubiquitous endoribonuclease, found in archaea, bacteria and eukarya as well as chloroplasts and mitochondria. Its best characterised activity is the generation of mature 5'-ends of tRNAs by cleaving the 5'-leader elements of precursor-tRNAs. The record is from RNAcentral. Lineage: Bacteria; Bacillati; Bacillota; Bacilli; Lactobacillales; Lactobacillaceae. RNAcentral also lists the same sequence under 1 other name.
AGUUUCGGGUAAUCGCGGUUAACUUUUGUUAGCUGAGGAAAGUCCAUGCCCGCACAGACUGCGAUGUCUGUAGUGUUCGUGCUUAGCCCAAUAAGCUAAGGUACCGGUGACGGUAACGGCGAUGUAAGGACCUAAGGGGUAACCUAUGGUGUGAUGCAUCUGAAAGUGCCACAGUGACGAUCUUGUUUGGAAACAAGCAAGUUGGAACGGGUAAACCCCGCGAGCGAGUAACCCAAACUUUUGGUAGGGGCGUCCCACGUAAGGAAUUGAACGACGCGUGAGAGCAGUUUCGGCUGCAGAUAGAUGAUUACCCUCAUUAGUAUUGUUCCUGAGAGUAUUAAUGAGACAAAACAUGGCUUACAGAG